This 497-nucleotide ribosomal RNA is filed under the name uncultured bacterium. Its description in RNAcentral is "partial 16S ribosomal RNA". It matches the Rfam family "Bacterial small subunit ribosomal RNA", at positions 28 to 507 of the family's 1533-position model. The record is from RNAcentral.
GAUGAACGCUGGCGGCGUGCCUAAUACAUGCAAGUCGAGCGAACAGACGAGGAGCUUGCUCCUCUGACGUUAGCGGCGGACGGGUGAGUAACACGUGGAUAACCUACCUAUAAGACUGGGAUAACUUCGGGAAACCGGAGCUAAUACCGGAUAAUAUAUUGAACCGCAUGGUUCAAUAGUGAAAGACGGUUUUGCUGUCACUUAUAGAUGGAUCCGCGCCGCAUUAGCUAGUUGGUAAGGUAACGGCUUACCAAGGCAACGAUGCGUAGCCGACCUGAGAGGGUGAUCGGCCACACUGGAACUGAGACACGGUCCAGACUCCUACGGGAGGCAGCAGUAGGGAAUCUUCCGCAGUGGGCGAAAGCCUGACGGAGCAACGCCGCAUGAGUGAUGAAGGUCUUCGGAUCGUAAAACUCUGUUAUUAGGGAAGAACAAAUGUGUAAGUAACUAUGCACGUCUUGACGGUACCUAAUCAGAAAGCCACGGCUAACUACGUG